Molecule: long non-coding RNA, 274 nt
Filed under: Mytilus galloprovincialis (Mediterranean mussel)
Lineage: Eukaryota; Metazoa; Mollusca; Bivalvia; Mytilida; Mytilidae
Source: RNAcentral
GCCCGAAAAUUAAUAUAGAUAAAUAUUCUAUACCUUUAAAAUUUCAUCCCUUUGCAGAACAGAUGAACUCUGACUUGGGUUGUAAUGUUACAUAAAAAUAUAGUGUCAGGUAGACGUGCAAACCAAAAACAACCAGGUGACAUUACACAUCCUGUGUGUACAUGUAUUACCAGAGUUUAAAUUUUGCGAUAUACAAAAGUUUUCAUAAAUGUACAAAUAAACUUUCUCUUAAUUUCCCGUUUCAAAUCAGAAGAAGUAUCUAUUAUAAUAAACU